GGGGGACUUAGUUUAACAUAGGACCCUAUGGGAAAUGCAUACAAAUGACUUCUUUUAGAGAACCACUGAAUGGAAUAAAACCAAACAUAGCAUGAAUGUUCCUUAUGGGGUGCUGACCAAGUGUUGUUACUUUGUAGCCGAUCCAUCAUCCAAGAUGGCCGCCAGCAGGGGACUUAGUUUAACAUAGGACCCUACGGGAAAUGCAUACAAAUGACUUCUUUUAGAGAACCACUGAAUUGAAUGAAACCAAACAUGGCAUGAAUGUUCCUUAUGAGGUGCUGACCAAGUGUUGUUACUUUGUUGCCGAUCCAUCAUCCAAG
RNAcentral lists this long non-coding RNA (320 nucleotides) under Mytilus galloprovincialis (Mediterranean mussel). The record is from RNAcentral. Lineage: Eukaryota; Metazoa; Mollusca; Bivalvia; Mytilida; Mytilidae.